This is a long non-coding RNA of Manacus vitellinus (golden-collared manakin), 4781 nucleotides long. RefSeq lists it as uncharacterized. The record is from RefSeq and is a predicted model, not a curated record. The transcript is spliced from 3 exons. Lineage: Eukaryota; Metazoa; Chordata; Aves; Passeriformes; Pipridae.
CUUUAAGCUCCAGUUCUCUAUACACUGUUCUGUUUGCACCAUUUGCUUGACAUGACUGUCUGCUCUGGGUUGAUGGUGUUUUUCUAGAAUUCCUGUGUGAACAGAAGCUAAUAAAGGAACUGUCAACUCAGAAAGCCCCUCUUAAAAUACAGUUCUACUGGCUUGGGGUAAGAAAUGCACAGAUCCCUUGGCCAAACCUCCUCUGUGGAAUUUGUAAUCCUAUUGCAAUUCCUUUGGUUUCCAGUAGCCAAACAAACCCUGGGGUCAAGCAGAAGUCAAGGUAUAAAAAUGGAUGGCUCUGAGCCUCCUUACCUGUUAGCUGCCAUGUGUUAGAGGGAUGAUGUGGACUGCAGCAGUUCUGUUCCCUCUCCUGGUGAGUGUUUGGGUGCAUAAUUCAAAUGUGUGUGUGUGUUUGAAUUCCAGCUUUCAUUGAUUGAAUUGGUCUCUGAUAAUAAACAGUAUAAAUAAAUCAGGUGGGAGUUAAAGCAUUGGGGAGGGGAAGAUUAAAUUCAGUGCAGUGACCUCGAGGAGAAUGUAAUUUCAAAAGUGCCUUAAAUAUGCUGAUGGCAUAAAAUAAGGCUGAGGAAGUUGGAGGGGCAGGAGAGUCGGGGAGAGAGGAAUAAAACAAAAUUAUUUGGAUUUAUCAGGAUUACAGGCAGAUAUGGUUUAUGCAGUUUAUUGUAGGGGAGUGUCAGUCACGAGGCCAGGGACCAAAAGUGAUCGGAGAGCAGUGGGAAUGAGGGCGGUGUGGAUAUGGAUCUGAGCAUGUGCAGCACCAGGGGAAGGCUCUUCCUGGGAGCAAACCAAGCAAAGCAGGGAGGAGGAUGGGGGGAUACAGCCAUGCCAGCAGGAAUUACAGGGACAGUCAGGCCUUGUCUGUUGAUGUAAAAAAUGCAGGAAUCCUCUCAGGCUGGUUUGAUGAAGCAAAAACAUUCUGGCUGUUGCAGACGAAAAGAGGAGAAUCCAGCUUUUGAUGUUACAGGAAACAUGAUCUGUAACUGAGCUGCCUAAUAGUUCAUAGUUAGUUCAUCACACUGACUUCAGACUAGAAAAAUAAAAAAAUGCUUUGUUUUGGACUGAUGAGCACCCUGACAGCCACAGGAAAGCAAAGAAAUUGGUGAAUCCUUCCAGUUGGCUCAUGUAGAGGUAGAUCCUGUGGGUUUGAAAGUACUUGUUUUCUUCUGGUUUUCUUUCCUUCUUUUUAGUUGUUUUAAUUUUUUAAAUAUUUGAUUUGUCCCUUAAAUUGUAACCUUUUUUUCAGUUGUGGCCAAGUAGCUUUUGAAACCCAGUCAAAGGCAGAAGCACUAAAAGGAGAGCUCUGUGCAUGGAAGUCCAUCCAUGUCCUUGCAGCUUCUGUUGUUCUGUCAGAUACCAUAUUAACUGUCCUUGUUUAAAAGUGCUUUCUCUACCUUGACCCAUAUCUCUAAAUGUCACUUUUAUACAUCUUUUCCUCAGAAGAAAUUAGAUAUUUGAAAAUAUAAUCUUCCUGUCUUACCUUUUAGCACCCCAAUUUAUGUCCAGAAAGAUUCCCAAUAGUUGAUAAUUUCCAGUAUCUUAACACCUAGGGCAUAGCAAUAACACACAGACUUCUCUUUUCCUUUGAGUCCUCCCUGCUUGGUGCUGCAUCACAUGAAAUCCAUUACUGUUUGGAAGCCACAGCUUCAGUUUGCCAUAGCUGAGUAAGACAGUGAGGAGCUACAGGGAAAACUGAACUGGGAAGGGCAGAAGCGAAAGCAAGUCACAAACAACUUAAUUUCCUACCUAAUCCUCGUGUGAUAUCAGAAUUAAAUCACAGGGACUGGUGAAAGAAUCCUUGGGGAAGCAAGAGAUGCACUUGGAAUUUUCCCUUUUCUGAGUGUCUUCAGGGUUUUGUGGCCUCUCACUGAUGUGCUGCCCAGCUGAGUGUCCCUGCCCAGGAUUCUGGGAGCAGGCUGGAUGUGCUCUGAAAUGUUCUCUACCCCCACCAGACACGGAUCUUCCUGUGGCUGCUUCUCUUGUUCCAACAGUGGUGACAGAAGGCUGACCUCCACGUUCCUGUUAUCCCUCAGUUCUCCACAGCAAACAGUCAGCAGUAGCUGGAAUCUGCAUCCUUGGAGUUCUGUUGUCAGUUUGGGCUGUUGUCACACACUUAGCUAAUACCCUCCAGUAAUUUUAUUUCUUAUUCACAUGCACACUUAAUGUCCUUCGUCAUUAGACUGAAAAAUGUUAACCUUGUCAUAGUUAGUGACUGGAAGCAGAAAAGUCCUUUUAAUUCUCAGGGGAAUGAAUUCUAAUUUUCUGCUUGUCAGAAAGUGACAUUUUACAUAUUUUUCUCUUUUUUUCCUUCACCAGUUUAGUGCUAAAUUUAAAUGUGUGUGUCAUAGGAACAGACCUUUAGUCUGUGCUAAACACCCCAAAAGCCUUGGCAGGUGUCCAGUGCAUGAGAGCCUUGACCAAGAGCUGCUGCUAAAGCUCAUUUGAUGCACUGCAGAGAAGGGGAGGUGAGGCUGGGAAGUUGGAGAUAAGGGGUUAUCUCAGAGGGCACAUUAACAUUGCAUGUCAGGAUGCAUUUUUUUUUUUCCCCUAGAAAAUAUGGAUGGAUGAAAAGCAGCUCAUCUGGAAUAAAAUGUCCAGUGAAGAAACAAAUUAUGUUAAUCAAGCAGACUAGUAUUAGUAUUUGUCAUAAAGAUGUGACACCUUCUAUUUAAUGUCACAAACUACUGGGAGCCUUUGAAAAAUGUACUGGUGGGAAGGAAAGUUCUCUGCAGAUACUGAGUUCACUGUUCUAUGAAAGGGAAUAACUUGUCUUGAAAAUUAGAUGGCAUUUAUGGCAAAGAGAAAUAAUCCUCCCACAGAUUACAGCUGUUCACUGCAUUGUUGUGCUGGUGGUCUUACCUCAUCAGUGGAUAUUUUAUAAGGAUCUUUCCUUUUUUUCUUUUUAUUUUUUUUUUUUUGAUACAUUUCCAUAAGCCUGUUCUGAGGAGGACAUUGUGUGCUGGGAGCUGGGUGUAUUUUGAGAAAGGGACACCACUACAAAGAACUCUUGAGUCUAAAUUGCAAAGAUGGGUGAAGUAAAAAUGAGGGAUGGUUAUUUUGCUUUUUACAGAUGGGAGCUGAAGCAGAGGAGGUGACUGUUGUGGCCAAAGUCACCCUGGGAGUCCGUGGAAUUGCAUCCUGAUCUUUGAAGUACAGUUCCAGUGUUUUACCAGAUAUUGUCUCUCUGUUCCCUUGCUGAUGAAUGUGGACUUAAUAUGCACAUGUGUGAUGAGCCAAACAUGUUCUGCAUGUGUUGAGCCAAAUUCUGACCUGAGGCCAUGAGGGGAGCGCUCCCUGGGCUGGCCAGGAGCGUUUGCAGGGCUGGGCUCAGCCCAAGGACUGCACAGUGCUGGCAUUUCUAAAGCCCCUCCUGGGCUGAACUUUGCUCCCCCUGCCUGUUUGGUGUUUGAGCCAACUCGGGGUUCUUGGGAAUUCUGGAGAAGUGCUGGCAGGGUGCUGGGUGAGGCACUGCCUGGCUCCUUGUCCGACCUCUUGCACUGCCUGCACACCAGAUGCUGAUUAAUGAUUAGCAUGUAACUAAUUUAUAAAUCAAUGCCACAAACAAAUAAACCAUCCAUUACAGUGACUUGCCAAGUCUCUCCCUUCUGGGAGAGAAGGGAGACUUGCAGGCAUUCCCCCCUUCUCUGUACAAAGGUGCCUCUGGACUGUGCCGUCUCGACACCUGGCAGAUCUGCUGUGUGGAUGAGAUUCAUUGUAUUCCACAGGGAAGGCUGAGGUCAACCAGGUGACCAAACUGACCUAUUGGAACCCGAGGGACAGGACAAGCUCUGCAGUCUGGCUGUCACUGGGGACUGCUUUUAAGGAUGAGAAUGUUGUGUCUGACGCGUGUCAGCAAGCAAAGGAGACUCACUAGCAGAGCUGGGUCCGUCUUGCUCCCCGGUGAGGAAUAAAAGCAUGAACCGUCUCUCACUUCGGGAGGAGAAGGGGGGGCUGUUUCCAGGCUGCGGGAAGUGCGAAGGCAUUGUCAGGUUUGGGUCAGGCGGAGCCGGGGCUGUGCUGAGCUCUCAGCAGGACCCAUCAGCCGGGUGUCACUCGGCAGCCUGGAGGCAUCUCCGGGAAAAGCCAAGACAGAAGUGUGGGGGGCGAAGCUGCCGUGUCUUGUGGUGGUGCAAGACUGUUCUCUGUAACAAUGAUCUUUGUGGAAAGCAGGCACAAAAAUGGAUAAAAGAAUAAAGAGCCUUUAUCAAGGAAGCAGAGAAAGAAAAUGGCCACUUCUACACUCCCCACAGUUAAAUGCUAAAUAAUGCUGUUAUCAGAGCUGUUGUGCCCACAUUUAAUCCCAGCCUGGUACCUGCAAGGCCUGAUCCUGCCCUCAGCUGCAUCCAGGGAAUCUGGUGUCAGUGGGGCCGCUGCACUGAAAAGGAUGGGUAGGGAAUGAAGAACUCUGUUCUGUUUAGUUCUUCAUGGUUGCAUCUAGUUUUGUGCUUUGAAGUUCUCAGAUUUAUUUCAAUCUUCAGGUUUAUUUUCACUUCUUUAGGGAAGCAGAUAAAGCAGGGAGGGGGAAAUAUGAGGGACGGGGCCAAAUUCAAAGUGGAGUCACUUGGGCAACAUGAAAAACCUGCAACCCCAAGGUGUAAUUUCCAUUGGUAAAACCAUGUUGAACCAACUAAUUGCUUCAAAAUUACAGCCAGAUUUCAACUUUGUAACUGCAGAGUGCAGCUCACCUAAACCAGGACAAGGGUAUCACAUGAGGGAGCUUGGAAGAGAACCUCGUGAGCUGCCUCACAGGAAAAAUGGUAAAACUG